This is a non-coding RNA of Acanthosepion pharaonis, 99 nucleotides long. Lineage: Eukaryota; Metazoa; Mollusca; Cephalopoda; Sepiida; Sepiidae. The record is from the annotation of a GenBank genome assembly.
UCGGCCAUAUCAUGUUGAAAUUCCGGUUCCCGUAAGAUCACCGAAGUUAAGCAAUGUUGAGCCUUGUCAGUACCUAGAUGGGUGACUGCUUAGGAAUGC